AUGAGCAUGAGGCUCUUCUGGUCUCUUUUCAUUUAUUUCCUGGGAGCAGGUCCCAUCGAUGCUAAAGAUGCAGGCAUUACUCAGCACCCAAGACAUAUAGUCACAGGAAUGGGACAGGCAGUGACACUGGAAUGUGAACAGACUUUGGAACAUAAUGCCAUGUACUGGUAUAGACAAGAUUUGGGCCAAGGUCUUCAGCUCAUCUAUUACUCUGGAAUUAAAGGUGACACUCAGAAAGGAGACAUUCCUGAGGGAUAUAAAGUCACUCGAGAAAAGAAGGAGUUCUUUCCUCUCAUUCUACAGAUGCCAAGACCUAACCAAUCAUCUUUGUAUCUCUGUGCUAGUAGCAGAGACACA
Molecule: non-coding RNA, 357 nt
Organism: Gracilinanus agilis (Agile Gracile Mouse Opossum)
Lineage: Eukaryota; Metazoa; Chordata; Mammalia; Didelphimorphia; Didelphidae
Source: the annotation of a RefSeq genome assembly